AUUGAACGCUGGCGGCAUGCUUUACACAUGCAAGUCGAACGGUAACAGGUCUUCGGAUGCUGACGAGUGGCGAACGGGUGAGUAAUACAUCGGAACGUGCCUAGUAGUGGGGGAUAACUACUCGAAAGAGUGGCUAAUACCGCAUACGAUCCAAGGAUGAAAGCGGGGGAUCGCAAGACCUCGCGCGUUUGGAGCGGCCGAUGGCAGAUUAGGUAGUUGGUGAGGUAAAGGCUUACCAAGCCUGCGAUCUGUAGCUGGUCUGAGAGGAUGAUCAGCCACACUGGGACUGAGACACGGCCCAGACUCCUACGGGAGGCAGCAGCGGGGAAUUUUGGACAAUGGGCGAAAGCCUGAUCCAGCCAUUCCGCGUGCAGGAUGAAGGCCCUCGGGUUGUAAACUGCUUUUGUACGGAACGAAAAGGCUCUUGCUAAUACCAGGAGUCCAUGACGGUACCGUAAGAAUAAGCACCGGCUAACUACGUG
Molecule: ribosomal RNA, 482 nt
Filed under: uncultured bacterium
Lineage: Bacteria
Description: bacterial SSU rRNA
Rfam family: Bacterial small subunit ribosomal RNA
Source: RNAcentral